CCUACGGGAGACAGCAGUGAGGAAUAUUGGUCAAUGGACGCAAGUCUGAACCAGCCAAGUAGCGUGAAGGAUGACUGCCCUACGGGUUGUAAACUGCUUUUAUAAAGGAAUAAAGUGAGACACGUGUGCUUAUUUGUAAGUACUUUAUGAAUAAGGAUCGGCUAACUCCGUGCCAGCAGCCGCGGUAAUACGGAGGAUCCAAGCGUUAUCCGGAUUUAUUGGGUUUAAAGGGUGCGUAGACGGGUUGUUAAGUCAGUUGUGAAAGUUUGCGGCUUAACCCUAAAAUUGCAAUUAAUACUGGUAGUCUUGAGUACAGAUGCGGUAGGCGGAAUUCAUGGUGUAGCGGUGAAAUGCUUAGAGAUCAUAAAGAACUCCGAUUGCGAAGGCAGCUUACUAAUCUAUCUCUGACAUUGAUGCACGAAAGUGUGGGGAGCAAACAGGAUUAGAUACCCUUGUAGUC
This 460-nucleotide ribosomal RNA is filed under the name uncultured bacterium. RNAcentral's name for it is "partial 16S ribosomal RNA". It matches the Rfam family "Bacterial small subunit ribosomal RNA", at positions 338 to 795 of the family's 1533-position model. The record is from RNAcentral.